UACGAAGGGGGCUAGCGUUGCUCGGAAUUAUUGGGCGUAAAGAGCUCGUAGGCGGUUCGUCGCGUCGGCUGUGAAAUCCCGAGGCUCAACCUCGGGUCUGCAGUCGAUACGGGCGGACUGGAGUUCGGCAGGGGAGACUGGAAUUCCUGGUGUAGCGGUGAAAUGCGCAGAUAUCAGGAGGAACACCGGUGGCGAAGGCGGGUCUCUGGGCCGAUACUGACGCUGAGGAGCGAAAGCGUGGGGAGCGAACAGG
RNAcentral lists this ribosomal RNA (253 nucleotides) under uncultured bacterium. RNAcentral's name for it is "partial 16S ribosomal RNA". It matches the Rfam family "Bacterial small subunit ribosomal RNA", at positions 524 to 776 of the family's 1533-position model. The record is from RNAcentral.